GUUAGUGUGGCAGAAAUGGUUAUGCAGGAGACCUAAGCUCUUCUAACUGGGGUUCAAAUCCCCCCACUAACU
Molecule: transfer RNA, 72 nt
Filed under: Amolops wuyiensis (Sanchiang sucker frog)
Lineage: Eukaryota; Metazoa; Chordata; Amphibia; Anura; Ranidae
Description: tRNA-Leu
Rfam family: tRNA
About the family: Transfer RNA (tRNA) molecules are approximately 80 nucleotides in length. Their secondary structure includes four short double-helical elements and three loops (D, anti-codon, and T loops).
Source: RNAcentral